RNAcentral lists this ribosomal RNA (497 nucleotides) under uncultured bacterium. RNAcentral describes it as "partial 16S ribosomal RNA". It matches the Rfam family "Bacterial small subunit ribosomal RNA", at positions 28 to 507 of the family's 1533-position model. The record is from RNAcentral.
GAUGAACGCUGGCGGCGUGCCUAAUACAUGCAAGUCUAGCGAACAGACGAGGAGCUUGCUCCUCUGACGUUAGCGGCGGACGGGUUAGUAACACGUGGAUAACCUACCUAUAAGACUGGGAUAACUUCGGGAAACCGGAGCUAAUACCGGAUAACAUGUUGAACCGCAUGGUUCAACAGUGAAAGACGGUCUUGCUGUCACUUAUAGAUGGAUCCGCGCCGCAUUAGCUAGUUGGUAAGGUAACGGCUUACCAAGGCAACGAUGCGUAGCCGACCUGAGAGGGUGAUCGGACAAACUGGAACUGAGACACGGAACAGAAUCCUAAGGGAGGCAGCAGUAGGGAAUCUUCCGAAAUGGGCGAAAGCCUGACGGAGCAACGACGCGUGAGUGAAGAAGGUCUUCGGAUCGUAAAACUCUGUUAUUAGGGAAGAACAAAUGUGUAAGUAACUAUGCACGUCUUGACGGUACCUAAUCAGAAAGCCACGGCUAACUACGUG